GAAUAUCCUUCACCAGUUGCAAAUUUUGUCUUUUUCCUCUAGUAUUGCUUUUGAUAUGUAUUCUAUUUUUCUUUCCUUCAAGCAAUAAUGUGUUUUAGAUAUAUUUUCUGUCCAUUGUGGUUUUAAACCCUGUAUUUUCGCAGAAGCACCCUGGCAUUUUAUCAUCUUGUUUUGAUUUUUCACAUAAUCUUGAAGUUUGAAGUCCUGAUGUUGCUAAGCAUAGGUUUGGAACCUAAACUCUAAUCUCAAUGAUGCAUUUUAUAAAAAAUUACAACUUAAGGGUUCCUGUCAGGUUUUGAAAGAUGUCUAUAAUUCAUUGCUUCUCACUCCUAUUGUCAGUGACAUCUAUAUUUAAUUUCUCUUGUCAAUGAUGCACUAAAUACUGAUGUCAAAGAUGUCAAGAAGUCACUGUUUCUCACUGUUCCUUGUGCUCUACAUUCAUGAAGUGGAUAAGUGUCAUGUGUUAUUUCCUUGACUUUAUUCUGUCUUCCUGUGGGAACUGUUUUUUCUGGUGAGUCCAAUGACAAGCACUGCUUUUGUAAUUAUCAUUAUGUUUAUCUAAUAUAUUUUGCUGAAAUAUUUGGUUUUUGCAGAGGAAGAUUCAGAAGAUGAAGAGCCAUUCCCAUUGAUGAAUGCAGACAAUGGUAUUCCCCUUAUUCACUUGAUAUUGAUUCAGAGGAGCAUGUUGAUUGAACUUCAAAUGAAUAAUCUCUUUGAUUCUUUUAUUUUAAAGGAAAUGUUCAGCCUGUGGUUGAGAAUACCAAGCCUGCCAAGGCAAAGGCUAAUGUUUCAAAGCCUGAUUCUUCUGUGAAACAAAAGGCUAAGCCAGUAGAUCCAAAGAAGGAAAUCAAAGCUGAGGAUGAAUCUGAUGAUGAUGAGUCUGAUGAGCAAGAUUCUUCUGAUGAAGAAGGUGAUUCUGAUGAGGUAUCUCCAUUUUAUGAUGUGAUUAACUUGGAUGUAACACAUUGUCUACCCUUAUAUAGUGGAGAGGAACACAUUAGAUUCUUACAGCUAUGCUUUGCAUGCAUGAUAUUCUGAUUUGUUAAAUUACAAUCAGAUUCCAAAUUGUGUGCUGAGUACUCUACUUUUUUUAAUUGAUGGAUUAAUGGAGAGAUAUUUUCUAAUGUAACUUAAAAUCAGUAGGAUGAUGGUAAUUACUCUUUAUUUUUUUAACUGAUUGAAGUUAAUUCUGACAGGGCUGUCAAACUAGAUGAAAAAAUAGAUUUGUGCGAUUAAAAAAUGAGUAUGAAACUGAUACCAGUUGAAAUAUGUUUCUUCUGAAGAUUUUUUUUUUAAACUAAAUAUGUUUUGGCUGAGAUAAUGUAACAUUUUCAGUUGCAUGACAAAUAAACAUUAUGAUUUUACAACUAAAAUAAAGUAGUUCAUUAAGCUUCAUCUUGCAAGUUUUUUCUUUUGCUUAACUUUGUAGAAUUAUCUUUUCAUAAUGGUCUUCUUUGUCAUUUUGCUUUGUUUUGUUUUUUUCCAUCCCAAUCAACAUUACUAUAAGAUGGCAUUCUAAAAUAAGUUUAUGCUUUGUUUUGCAGGAAAUGUCUGAAGAUUCAGAGGAAGAAGGUGAUUCUGAGAGUGAAGAUGAGGAGACUCCGAAGAAGGUAUGAGAUUAGUAUUGUGGUUGAUUUUAUAUGAUUUUCAAACAAGAGUGAUUGCUUAUUUUUUGUUAUUUUAUUUAAAAAGGCUGAGAAAGGCAAGAAGAGACCCAAUGAGUCUGCAACAAAGACCCCUGUGCCCUCAAAGAAGAUAAAGUCAGUUACUCCUCAGAAGACAGGUGUAUUUUCUUAUACCCUCUCUGCUAAUCAUUUUCCAGAUGUCUAUAUUGUCUUCUAUUACUUUUGGCAUUAUGCAUGUAUCUGCAAUUCUGAAAACACAAUUCUGCUUUGUAGCAUUUUUCUUGUGAUAAAGGUUUUAGAUUUCUGAAUUUUCAUCUUCGCAACAUUGACCUGCAGUGACUGGAUAAUUUAAUUAUUGACAAAUAGUGGUUCCUUUUUGGUAAAUAUACAAUAUGUAGUUUUUCCACAUAUUACCGAUGUGUUUAUGUAUAUAUAUUAUUUUUUUUCCCCGGACCAGAUGGUAAGAAGGGAGGGCAUACUGCAACUCCUCAUCCAGCCAAGGGUGGUGGAAAAGCUGCUGCAAACGGCAGCAAUACUAAAGCACAGACCCCAAAAUCUGGUGGCCAGUUCGCUUGCAAAUCCUGUGAAAGGUGUGUUUAGGAAACUGUUAGAUGUUACUCUAUCUGCUAGAGGAGUCUUGAGUGUUGCUAACUAGUAACCUGUGAACAGGUCAUUCGCCUCAGAUGUUGCUCUGCAGUCUCACUCAAAGGCCAAGCAUGGUGGAAAGUAAAUACAGUUAAUUUUUUUUUUCAUGAGAGAACCAAGUUAGAAGAUUUUGUUAGGCAUGCCUUAGGAAGGGAGAGGUUUGUGAUAGUAAAGCUUGUUUUGCAAAUACUGGUAAUGGUUCUAAAAUUGGGUGGGUGUGUGCUCAUUUUGAAUUCUGUUUUAAUUUAUUGUUUCUCAUGAUCAUUAAUGUGUUGUGAUGUUGCAUGAUCUUUGAUGUUUUGUGAGUUUAGCCGGCUCUUAAUGUUUCAAACCGAACUGAAGAAGUGUGAUAUAUCAUAUUUAUUCCAUGAGAGCUAAAUUCACCAUGCAUAUAUCUCUUGGCAACUGCUUUAAACUUGAUGCACUGUAGCUUCAAAUAACCAAAGUCGGGAAGAACUAGCCUCGUCAAUGAACUCAAGCCUGCAACAAUGGGUGGCGGCAGCUGCAAAGCUAUAAACUCGGAACUCCGUGACCGAAGCUGGGAUACAAAUUUUGGAAAUCAAAAUUUAUUGUGCAAAGGAUUAAAUUGUUUUUUUUUUUUUAAAAAAAAAAAUUAUACGUAAUUUUAAUUUUUUUUAUUUUUUUAAAGUAAAAUUGAAUCGUUACAUUUUAAAUAAAAAGGUUGAUAAAAAAAUUAAUUAAAUUGAUUUUCUUUUUGAAAUUUCUAAUUCCAAAUAAGAGUUCGAUACAUAAAACCUUUUUUUUUCCUACUUUGGUGGCAAGGAAUGUUUCUCAAUUUCUCCAAAGAACAGAAAACAUUCAGGUAUGCCUCUUCUUCGCAGAUAAGAAUCUGAACUCAUCAUAACACAUAUUUGAAGAACAUUUAUUUAGGAAUUAUAGGUUAAUGUCUAUAAAAUUAUUCGUGUUGUAUUGGAAAAACAGUAAAAAAGAAAAUUAUAUAUAAAAUUUAUUAUCAUGAUAAGAGAAGGUGCAUUAUAAUCUUUGCUAGCCACUACUAAGAUUAGCCAGAAUAUAUAAACAACUCAAAUCAGACAAUGACUAAAUUAUAUUUUAGUCUUUAAAAUAUAAUUAAUAAUCGGUUUUUAUAUUUUAAAAUCGUAUACUUAUAUUCUUAUAUAAUCAGUUAUUUUCAUCUGCUAUAAUUUAAACAUUUUAAUUUUUUUAUAUUUUAUUUGGAAAAACAUUUGUGUCUUUCCAUUCAACUUUUAUUUAUAAUAUUUUAAUUUUUAAUAUUUUUUAUUCUUUAAUUUUUAUAAAUUAAAAUAUUUCGAUAUUUAUAAUUUCAAAACUUUCAUAAAAUACUUACAUUUCAGCUACUUUUAAGUGAUAUCAAGUAAAAUUUAAGUAGGUUGUAUGUUUUUAUAGAGUAUUUUAAAAAGAAAUUAUUUUUUUAGAAAAAAUUUAACCAUUUAUUAAUUUUGAACUAAUAUUUAUAAUAAUUGAAUGAAUUAUAAUUUUAAACGGAUUAAAUAUAGAGAGAUUUAAAUAUUUAAUUUUAAAAAUAUAAGGACUAAUUUGUCAAAUAUGCUAAAACUUAUAAACCAAAAUAUAGUUUAUACAAUAUAAAAUUCUCCACCUAUAUUUUGGAAAGAAUUUAAGUGUUUAUAAAGGUAUUUUAGAUAUUUAAAAUAUUUAUUUUCUUUUUGACCGGUUGACUAAUGGAAUUAUAAACGAAAAGAUCUCUAAUUUGGAUAAAUUGAUUAUAUAGGAAUUUAAGUGUUUGAUUUUAAAAAUAUAGAAAUUUAUUUGUUAAUCACGUUAAAAUUCAGAAAUUAAAGUAUAAUUUACCCUAAUAUUUUUUUUAAAUCAAAUAAUUUACUCUAAUAUAAAAUAUAAUUAUUAUCUUUUAAUUUUAGAGUCUAAAAAUAAACUAUUCUCUAAUAUUUCUGAUAGAUAAUAAAAAUAAUAAUAACAAAAAAGCAAUCCUUAUAGUUAGUUUUACUGUUAAAUUCAAGCAUCAUUGCUUUCAGGAAAAGAGACAACGCUCCUAAUCUAAUAAUCCUCUAAAAGAAAUUACAUCAUAUUAUAAUCACAACCUUCUUGGAUUACUCCUUUGUAAUGGCAAUCAAAUUCAGAUUCUUUCCCACCAUACCAAAAAUGUUGAAGAUUGUGAAAAUUUUCCUUUGUUUCGUGAUUGUAUCCAAAGUUAUGUUCAUCCCAAAAAUUGGGAAUAUACCACAGUGGCAGAUCCAAUAGCUUUUCUAGAACAUGACCAAAACAAUUUUCUUGAGUAGUCUCAAUCUCCCUAACAAGCUUUCAUGAUUUUUCAUUGAACUUCUUGGUUCUUUCCCAUUAAGACUUCUAGAGAAUCAAAUUUUUUACUCAAUCUGCUAUAAGUAGAAAUCAUUACAAUCCAUUAACCCACACCGAGGCAGCCCAAUAUAAGCAAAAAACAACAACAAUGCUUAAGGAGUAGAAGGAAAUUUUCAGUCUCUUUAGUGCUUAAUUCACAAGAUGGAUAACCAUGCAAAGAGUUGCAGGCAGAUCAUAUGUUAGUAUAACAAAAUAUGAGAAAUAAGGAUUCUAAAGAAGCUGUAUUUAAUUUUUUUAUGAAAUUAUAUAACCAAUGACUUAGCAUUAAUAAAUAUAGUUGAUGAUCUGAAAUUCAAAAAAUAGGGUUUUACAAUAAGUUCUGUAAAAUUGGAAAAAAUUUAGAUUCAGAGGAGAAUAUUUCUCUUUUUAUAUGUUUUCUUUUGUCUGCUAGUGACGUGUAACAGAAUGUAUGUCAUUGGACCACCUGUCCCUGUCACGUUGAUAUGGACGUACGAGGGAAUCAGAUCGCUGCCCCAUGCGUAACGACUCCUAAUUCUCCCCAGACACGCGUGCGAAUUGUCUCGCAAGACGAAUGGACUGAACUUCUUCCUGGUUCCGAGCUGGGCCGAUAGAUAAAGUUAAGACUAGGCCCUGGGGGAUCUGUUCAUUGGGCCGAAAGAGCUGAGCCGGCCUGAUUGAAGAAUCUGAUUGGAGCGGGUCUUUGAGCUGGGCGGGCCGGACCUGACUCUUGGAGGAAAUGUAGAAGCUUUCAGAUUGUGGGCUGUCCUAGUGGGUCUAGCCUUACACCGAGGCGAAAAAAUCCAGCGAUCAUCAAUAGUUAUUUAAUUUGAAAAGAUAAAUACAUAAAUUAAAAAAAAAUCAUAUUUAUAUUAUUGUCGAGUUGAUAUUAAAAAUAUUGAGAUAUUUUAAUUUUAAAUAGAUAUAAUUUCUACAAUCUUUUAUAUUUUUUUAUUUUUUAUUUCUCACGAUAAUACAAAGUGAGUUCAUAUCUAUUCACUUAUGAAAUACUCUUAUUUUGGACCAAUUACAUAAAUUAAUUUAAAUUAAUUUUAAUCGAAUUUAUUAUAAAUUUAAAUAUUACUAAUAUAAAUUAAAUUUAAAUUAUUUAAAUUUAAAUUAUUUAAAUUUAAAUUUAAAUAAUUUAACUUUUACAUAUAUCAAACCCUUUUAUAUCUCUAAAUUUUGAUUUAAAAUUUUUUUUCUCUUAAAAAAUGUUAUGCCUUUGUGGAUCCCAAUUUAUUAGGAAGUAAUCAUAUAGUUAGCAACAUUGGAGUUUGUAACUAAUAAGUGAUCUAUGUAUUAUUAAAAUUUGGAAAGAUAUAUGUUUGCUUAAAUAUAAACCAACUCAAAUAAAAAUUAAUAAAAUAAAAUAAAUUCUUACACAACUAAUACAUGGAUAUAUAAAUAAUAAAUUAAUUUAAAUUAAAAUAAAUUUUAUAUUUAAUUAUAUCCUAUUAAUUGAAUGUAUUAUUACAUGUGCUUAUAAGAGAUUUCUCCAGCCCAAACCUCUCGUCAAUGUAUCUGCGUGUUUUAAUUCAAGAGGAACAGAUUAUGUUUGAACAAUUUUAAUUUCAAUUUGAUAAAAAAAAAUAAAGAAUGUCUAUUGAGCUAUUAAAACAUGCUGAUGAAUAGGGUUGGUUUUAAACUUAAACCUUUAUUUGAUGGAAAUAAUUUUAUAAAAAAAUAUUAAAAUAAUUUUUUUAUUAUAAUUUUAUUUGUAUAUAGGAUGAAAAUUUUUUAAUUUAAAAAAUUAUAAAAAAUAAUUAAAUUAAAAAUUUCUAUUUCAAACUGUGUAGACAAUAUUGAUAAGAUGAAUAAUAAUUAUUUUAUUUUACUUUCAAAUCAUAAGACUAAUAAAAUAGACCUUCGAGGCUAACUUGAGGAGGACUCGGAUUUCAGUUGUGCUGCUAAUGCGUUGGAAAAAAUUUGAGUUUUGGUUCCAUCAUCCCACGAUUUUAAUAAUAUUCUCUAUCAUUAAAAAUCUUAUUUUCCUUUUUUUUUUAUUAUUAAACUCACCCUUAAAAACAUAUUUUCAAAUUUAUGCUUAAAAUUGUAUUUAAUAUUAAUAUUUUAAAAUUUAAAAAAUAAAAUUUAUAAUGAGUGUUUAACUAUUCUUUUGCUACAUAUACAAAUGUCAGAACACUUUUUCACGCCAAACGACCAUUCAAUUUCUCCGGCGUGCAUGCUGAUAAAGAUGUGAGAUGGCUAAGCAUGCUUUCUUGCCUCUGUCAUGUCACCGGAUCAGACUUUUUUUAAAUGGGUCUGCACGUGUAAUCAGUCCAACCUGUUUCAUAUCACUAAAUUAAAGUGUGCGACAUGGAGUUGGUCUGAAAAAAAGACUGAUGGAUAUUGGAUAUAUGUUUUUUUUGGAGUCUAAAUUUGUUCGGGUAUAAAAAGUUCGGCGGUUAUAAAAAGUAAUUUUAUUUAAAAUCACUGGUGGGCCACCAGAUCACAAUGGUUGGGCCUUAGGCCUUUUUUUCUGUACAGGUGCUCAGGCUUUUGCAUCUACGUCCACCGUCAUUCACUUUCUCAAUAUGCAAAUUCUCAAUUGUGCCCGUUAUGGCGGCAUUUGCUCUGUUUGCCUCCCUGCAAAAACCUAAACCCUGGACACCUCCAUCAGAUCAGAAACCAAAAUGCGUAUUUUCAUUUCCUUCAUUCUCCUCAAAUUCAAUACCAAAACCCUAAAAUCUGUACAAUCCACUCCCUACAACCUCACUUUCAUGAAGUCAAUGUCCCAAUCCACUUCCAUUCCCAGAAAGCAGCAGCGAGUGCGCGACUAUGGCUACGACAAUUACAUGGAAAUCGAGAAGAAAACCCGCAAGGUCCUCAAGUUCCAGUCCCUAAUUCUAUCCCAAAUCAACCAAAAUGUACCAAUUUCUCGCCUUGACAAUCUCGCUCGCCGCCUCGGUUUUAAACUGUACGAGGCCGGCUCUUUUGUAUUGAAAUUCCCCCACGUCUUCGAAGUCUAUGAGCAUCCUGUUCAACGGAUCCUCUACUGUCGUUUAACCCGCAAAGCCCUUCUUCAAAUUCAACAAGAAAAGGAAGCCUUGAUUGCCCAGAUACCCGAUGCUGUCACCCGCUUAAGGAAACUGAUAAUGAUGUCGAACACUGGUCGGCUGCGAUUGGAGCAUGUAAGGAUUGCCAGGUCUGAAUUUGGAUUGCCUGAUGAUUUUGAGUACUCUGUUGUUCUUAAAAAUCCUCAGUAUUUUAGACUAAUAGAUGCUGAUGAAACGAGGAAUAAGUAUAUAGAGAUUGUUGACAGAGACCUCAAAUUAGCUGUUUGCGCAAUAGAGAAAGCUAGGGAGAGAGAGUACAGGGAGAAAGGGAUGAAUGCUGAGGAUAUUCGGUUUUCGUUUAUCAUCAAUUUUCCUCCCGGGUUUAAGAUAGGAAAGUAUUACAGGAUUGCAGUGUGGAAAUGGCAAAGAACACCGUAUUGGUCACCUUAUGAGGAUAUUUCUGGAUAUGAUUUGAGGUCAAUUGAGGCUCAGAAGAGGUUGGAGAAGAGAGCAGUAGCAACUAUUCAUGAAUUGUUGUCAUUGACAGUGGAGAAGAAAAUCACACUGGAGAGGAUAGCACAUUUUAGAAUGGCUAUGAAUUUGCCUAACAAGUUGAAGGAAUUUUGCCUUCAGCAUCAGGGGAUAUUUUAUGUCUCAACAAGAGGGAAUCAUGGUAAGCUGCAUACAGUGUUUCUUAGGGAGGCUUAUAAGAAAGGGGAAUUGGUAGAGCCAAAUGAUUUGUAUUUAGCGAGGAGGAAGUUGGGUGAGUUAGUUUUGAUAAGUCCAAGGAAGGCAAAAGUGGAUGCAGAGCUGGUUAGCUAUAGAAGGGAUAGAGAAGGUGAUGAAUUGGAGCAACUUGGAAGAGACUACGUGGAAAAUAAUUUUGAGGCUAGCAAGGAUGUGCAAGAUGGAGAGUAUGAGGAUGAUUUGAACUCAGACUUGGACAGCGAUGUUGGCACUGAUUAUACUGAUAAUGAUUUUUCAGUAUUACCACGUAUAUAACAGGAGGAUUAGGCUAUGAUUUUGCUUAGCUUGUUUCACUUUCAGCCCUGUACAUGAAUUUUUGUUCUGGGAACAUGUUAUGUGAGUGUGUAUUCAUUUGUAUUAGUUCUAUAUCUAAUGUACUGAUGUUGGAGUUUAUAAGAGCUAUAGGAAAGGAAGUUAAUGGUUAAUGAAGCUAAAGGAAGUUGUUUAACAUUAGUUUCUGAGUAUGGUUAUAUAUGAUAAUAUUUGUCCUGUAGACCUUGUAUUACUCCAUAAUGUUCUGUGGUAGCAAUUUUUGUGCUGCAUUGGCAUGUGGAAAGACCUGCAUGAGUGGAGUUAAGUUCUGUUUCAUACAUGGUGUCUUCAUUUUGUUGGAUUGUUUUUCUUUUUUUUGAUGUCUUUGUUUUUGUGCCUUGUAAUUCCUAUUGCCUUGCUCUCCUCCUGGUGUUGAUUUUUUUGAUCUAAAAUUACUCGUUGGUGAAUUUCUGUUUCCAUUUUCCUAUUUUUUCAAUAUGAUGUGCUUUUAAUUUUGUUAUGCUAAUUUCCUAUAUUCUCUUUAUUAUAACUAGGUAUUGAGGUCAAGGCUGGGGAGCCUGUCAAAGUAACACCUUAUCCUGAAACCAUCAUACAUCUCUCUCAGGUUUGCUUUUAAACUAUUUAAAUUUUUGUGUAUUUGCUGUGUCUUAUGUUCUGAAUUUGCCGUGUUGAUUUGAUUUUCUUACUAAAUUAUUGAGCUCUAGGGGAGUCGAAGAAAGGAAAUGAAUCAGUGCCCCUUUUUCUAAAGAUUGAUUGAUGAUAAGAAGAUUGUAUUGGGAACUCUUUCUCCUGAAAACAUCCCUCAGUUGCCUUUUGAUUUGGUUUUUGAAAGAGAGGUUGAGCUAUCUCACAACUGGAAAAGUGGGAGUGUCUACUUCUGUGGUUAUAAAAGUCAAUUGCCAGAAGAAGAAUAUCCUUCACCAGUUGCAAAUUGUCUUUUUCCUCUUGUAUUGCUUUUGAUAUGUAUUCUAUUAUUCUUUCCUUCAAGCAAUAACGUGUUGCAGAUAUAUUUUCUGUCCAUUGUGGUUUUAAAUUCUGUAUUUUCGCUGAAGCACCCUGGCAUUUUAUCAUCUAGUUUUGAUUUUUCACAUAAUCUUGAAGUUUGAAGUCCUGAUGUUGCUAAGCAUAGGUUUGGAACCUAAACUAAUCUCAAUGAUGCAUUUUAUAAAAAAUUACAACUUAAGGGUUCCUGUCGGUUUUGAAAGAUGUCUAGAAUUCAUUCUUUCUCACUCCUAUUGUCAGUGACAUCUAGAUUUAAUUCCUCUUGUCAAUGAUGCACUAAAUACUGAUGUCAAGAAUUCACUGUUCCUUAUGUUCUACAUUCAUGAAGUGGAUAAGUGUCCUGUGUUAUUUCCUUGACUUUAUUCUGUCUUCCACUGGGAAC
This 9965-nucleotide long non-coding RNA is filed under the name Manihot esculenta (cassava). Its description in RNAcentral is "long non-coding RNA (MESC_LNC001979)". Lineage: Eukaryota; Viridiplantae; Streptophyta; Magnoliopsida; Malpighiales; Euphorbiaceae. The record is from RNAcentral.